AUGCCAAGGGCCGGCCCUGCCCCACCCCAUUGCAGUGGGUCGACUGAAGAUCGUCGAGCUGGCCAAUGGAGCAAUGUUAUCCUCCUUGGAGAAACAUAAAGGAAGGGGAAAGAGGGAGAAAAGGAAAAAUCCCAAUUACGAAGCUGAGGAAGACGAAAGUGUCAUGGUAUAAUUUUAGUUUUCUCUGUGAAGGCUAUCCCCCUACACCUUAACUAAGACCCCACGGCCGUUUAUUUCUUGGACUUUUGUGAUUUGAAAGUAACUUGUGUGCUACUCAAAACAAGAGCAGCUUAUUUUAUAUUAGCUGUCAGCAUUGUAGGGCUCAAAUAUUGAUAAGCGCAUUCAUUUUGAACUGUAAUAAGGCUACUAGCUGUACAUAUAUCUCACAUUAAUCAACACCUCUGUAGCCAUUUAGAAUUGUGUAUUCCCCCAGGCCAUGGGGUAAUUUGUUAUAAUAUCUAAAUUGGAAAUAGAAACCUAUUUCAACCAGGCAUUUCUUCAAAUUGUUGUGAUAUCAUUUUUGUUAUUGAGAAUCAUGAUUUUGAACUUAGUAUCGCACCAAAGGAGAAAUAAUCUUGUAUUGUUACAACAUACAUUUCUACAAGAGAUUAUAAUUGACUAUAUUCAAUGACUAUUUUAUUUUUUUCAUCAAGGAGGACAUACCAAAGAAGCAAAAGCAGAAGAAGCAUAAUUCGGAACAGAAGCAGCAACAAAAUCUAUUGAGGAACAUAUCGGAGAAAAGCUGCCAAGUCUUUUGGAUCAGGUGAGGGAGUUGAAGGACAAAGCACUCCAACCCUGUAACAUUUAGGACGAGAGCCAGGACAAUGCAACUAUGGGUAUGCUUUGCAGAUCUUGUAAAACUGACAAUAUUAAUGACAUUGGAGCAUUUAUAAUUGACUUAAUUAAAUGAAAUAACUAUGACAUUUCUAUGAUAUCUUCUUUACCAAGAGAAAGCUGGAACCUCUGGUGAAGUAACAAAAACUGAGCACCAGGGAGCUGGUGACAUGGUAUGAUCAUGUUCAAUAACCCCACUUACAUUAAUUUCCUUGCCAGUCAUGUUGGGUGAAAUUUUGCAUGCAUAAUUCAAUCAUUAAUACAUUUAUAUGCUUUUCAUGCUAGCCUAAAUAGUGCUCAAAAGUCAAACCCAUUAUUGACUGCAAGUAUAAAAUAUAAUGUAUAUAAAAUGAAAUAGAUUCAUAGAUUUUCUCCAUUCAAGUAUGUGAUACGGUUAUAUCAAAUUGUAAGCUGAGAGUAUUGUCACUCACACCCCUACCAGUGUGUCUGAUUUCUACUAGGUGGAGUUGGCUGAAGGCAAGGACCCAAAAAAAAAGGUCACAGAACUGAUGUCUGUCUUUUUAACAAGACAAUUGAUGGCGUCCUCUUCUCUCUCGGGAAGCAGACUAAUGCGUAGAUGCUAAAAAGCAGCUGGACCCCAACAUCGUUGCGGCGAUUGCCAAAUAUGUGCAGGAGAAGCAUUCAGACUUCACCUUCAAGGACGUGACGAAUGUGAUGAGAACCAAACUCAAUAAUGAAAGCAAAAAUCGGGCCAUAAAAACAGAGGGAACCUUUUCUGGAGCUGAGCUGCUUGGGGAUUCCCAUGGAGACUAAAGUGUUGCUGUUACUGUUACUUUAGAGUUCCCAGUUGGUUUUCCUUCACUCCAGUUGUUCUGCUACCUGGAAAACAGUUUUGUUUCUGGGCCUGAAAUUGUUCCUGUACAUUUAGAUACAUAUAUAUUUUACAUUUUUUACAUUUAAGUUAUUUUAAAUAAUUUUUGAUAAUAAA
Gymnodraco acuticeps is the source of this 1783-nucleotide long non-coding RNA. RefSeq lists it as uncharacterized. The transcript has 4 exons. The record is from RefSeq and is a predicted model, not a curated record. NCBI's taxonomy places the organism in Eukaryota, Metazoa, Chordata, Actinopteri, Perciformes, Bathydraconidae.